CUCUCCUCCUCCUCUUCUGUCUCUCCUCUCCUCCUCCUCUUCUGUCUCUCCUCUCCUUCUCCUCUUCUGUCUCUCCUCUCCUCCUCCUCUUCUGUCUCUCCUCUCCUUCUCCUCUUCUGUCUCCUCUCCUCCUCCUCUUCUGUCUCUCCUCUCCUCCUCCUCUUCUGUCUCUCCUCUCCUCCUCCUCUUCUGUCUCUCCUCUCCUUCUCCUCUUCUGUCUCUCCUCUCCUUCUCCUCUUCUGUCUCUCCUCUCCUCCUCCCCUUCUGUCUCUCCUCUCCUUCUCCUCUUCUGUCUCCUCUCCUCCUCCUCUUCUGUCUCUCCUCUCCUCCUCCUCUUCUGUCUCUCCUCUCCUUCUCCUCUUCUGUCUCUCCUCUCCCCCUACUCUUCUGUCUCUCCUCUCCUCCUACUCAUCUGUCUCCCCUCUCCUCCUCCUCUUUCUCUCUGCAGGUGCUGCUGGUUCAGGCCAUCAGGCCAGAUAGACUACAGAGUGCAAUGGCUGCCUUCACCUCGCAGGCCCUUGGAGCAUUACUUCUCUGGCUUACUGCUGAGGUCCAUCCCAAGUUCCCCCCCAUCCUGCUGCAGUCGAGCUUCAAGAUCACCUAUGAGGUGCUCUAGUACCUACAGGAACCCCAACAGCUUGUAAACUACAUCCUCCAGGAACCCCAGAACUUAAUAAACAACAUCAUCCAGGAAACCCAGCACUUUAUAAACUACAUCCCACUGGAAUCCCAACACUUUAUAAACUACAUCCCCCAGGUACCCCUGCAACAUAUAAAAUACAUCCCGCAGGGAAUAAAGUGCUCACCCCUAUGUAAACAUCCCAGUGCCACGAUUGAUGACCUACUACAGCUCCCAUCAUGCCCUGGGACUGUUGUGGCCCACUAAAGCAGCCCCACUGUGUUUACAGUGUGUGUAUAACCUGACCCUUUAGAAACAUGCUCUCUGUGUCUUUGUGGUCUCUGCGGUCACACAGCCAUUAGCAGAGCCUGGGAAUGUUGUCCGUGUGCUCAUAAAGAACACUAGCGUGCUUCUACUCUCCAGUCUACAGAGAGAUGUUACCCUCUCACUGCUCCCUUGUGCUCUGUAGCAGCUUAACCAGCUACAGCUUGUUAACAGCAGUACGCUCAGGACCAGCACACUCAGGACCAUGAGCUGCCUCAUUUACAACCACCCCUCAUGCUAGCUAAUACACAAUUAAACACACACAUACUCCUAGCUGAAGUGUUCCCACGUACACACAUACUUACGCACAGGGCAGUAGGAAAAGCACUAUGGAGAGCCAUGAUGAUAACAAGCAAAAAUUAAAACAGGAAGCACCAGUGACUAGAUCAAUAAAAAAGUGGUCAGAUGAAGCAGAUGCUAAGCUACAGGACUGUCUCAGACUGGAAUAUGUUCUGGGAUUCCUCCAAUGGCAUUGAGGAGUACAUCACAUCUGUCAUUGGCUUCAUCAAUAAGUGCUUCGAUGACAUCGUCCCCACAGUGACCGUACGUACAUACCCCAACCAGAAGCCAUGGAUUACAGGCAGCAUCCGCGCUGAGCUAAAUGCAAGCUAAAAGCUGCCCCUUUCAAGGAGCGGGCCUCUAACCCAGAAGCUUAUAAGAAAUCCUGCUAUUCCCUCCGAACCAUCAAACAGGCAAAGCAUCAAUACAGGGCUAAGAUCGAGUCGUACUCCGACGCUCGUCAAUUGUGGCAGGGCCUGCAAACCAUUACAGACUAGAAAGGGAAGCACAGCUGAGAGCUGCCCAAUGACACAACCUUUAGAUGGGUCAACAUUCACAAGGCCGCAGGGACAGAUGGAUUAACAGAACAUGUACUGCGAGCAUGCACUGACCAACUAGAAAGUGUCUUCACUGACAUUUUCAAACUCUCCCUGUCUGAGUCUGUAAUACCAACAUAUUUUAAGCAGACCACCAUAGUGCCUGUGGCCAAGAAAACUAAGGUAACUUGCCUAAAUGACUACCGACCUGUAGCACUCACAUGUAUAGCCAUGAAGUGCUUUGAAAGGCUGGUCAUGGCUCACAUCAACACCAUCAUCCCAGAAACCCUAGACCCACUCAAAUUUGCAUAUUGCCCCAACAGAUCCACAGAUGAUGCAGUCUCUAUUGCACUUGUUGGGGAAUAAUCAGAAUUGGUGGGUAACAUAGAUAAGAUGUUUUAUUUUCAUGAUAUGCUUAUGAGUUAUUUCUCAUAAGAAUGUAUUUUGUUGUACUAUAGUGGUGGCCAUUGGCAGUUAUCUGUUCUCUGUCAGGACUAAGUUGUUUGGGCGGCAGAGAGGGGAGAGGUCAAGGUGUCAUCAUGUGUAAACAUAUCUGUUGCUCCACUGUGUCUGUGUGCCAGUCACUCCCUACUUUUCCCAUCGGGGAGAGGAGGAUGGCAGUGUCUGGAAUCAUUCUAUGCUGCCCGUGAGCUUGUCCAGGAUUGGUUGUAUUUAGAAUUGGUUGUAUCUAAAUGACAAUUGGAUAUAUGCCUGUUGAUAUGGAGGAUUGGGUUAUAGUGCUGGGUUUGAGUAAGGAGACAAAGCUGAACAAUUUAUUAUGUUUAUGCUGUCUGACUAUGUGUGUUUUUUGCUAUUAAUUAAAGGAUCUCAGUUGCAAUGUAGUGGGGCUCUCAGAGAAUUCAUUGAUAGACACUGAAUUGAUCUGAGAGUCACAGGGUUGUGAUAGAGCUCAUAUAAUUAAAGAUGGA
Molecule: long non-coding RNA, 2687 nt
Organism: Oncorhynchus keta (chum salmon)
Lineage: Eukaryota; Metazoa; Chordata; Actinopteri; Salmoniformes; Salmonidae
Exons: 3
Source: RefSeq, a predicted model, not a curated record